RNAcentral lists this ribosomal RNA (300 nucleotides) under uncultured Glycomyces sp. RNAcentral's name for it is "bacterial SSU rRNA". It matches the Rfam family "Bacterial small subunit ribosomal RNA", at positions 496 to 795 of the family's 1533-position model. The record is from RNAcentral. Lineage: Bacteria; Bacillati; Actinomycetota; Actinomycetes; Glycomycetales; Glycomycetaceae.
GACAUGCUCGCGCCAUGUGGCGCGGGAAGACGAUGGUAGCUAGCGGUGUGCGUGAUCAGUUGGCGUAAAGCGGGUGUAGGUGGAUUGGUAAGGAAGGAGUGAAAUCCCAGGGCUGAACCCGUGAACGGCGCUUGAGAUUGCCUGUCGGGAAUGCGGAAGAGGUUGGUGUAACUCCCAGUGUAGAGGUGAAAGUCGCAGAUAUUGGGAAGAACACCGGUGGCGAAGGCGACCAACUGGUCCGACAUUGACACUGAGGCACGAAAGCGUGGGUAGCAAACAGGAUUAGAUACCCGAGUAGUC